Molecule: long non-coding RNA, 7724 nt
Filed under: Xyrichtys novacula (pearly razorfish)
Lineage: Eukaryota; Metazoa; Chordata; Actinopteri; Labriformes; Labridae
Source: RNAcentral
GGUGCUGCUAUUGUGGUAAAAACAUACCAGAGCUGUAGUUAUUUUAGAGCACAAUUUUCAAGUUAUGUAGUAAUACUGAUGAUUGUUUUUAAAAAGUUUCUGUUUUUGACCUCUUUAGCUGGUUUCAGAAUUUUUGCUUGGGGCCCCAGCACACUCUAGAAUCACCUCUGUGAACUGUUUUCUUUCAGGGUUAUCCAAAAGUAAUGAAACUUGCCUGUCGAAUGAGCUCUGAUAUUGGAGGAACUCUGAGAUGACGUGUACAAAGGAGAGCUGCAAACUUUCUGAAUAUAAGAAAAUGAUGUAACCCUGUGCAUUUCAGUCGACGAGACACACCUAUGUGAUGCUAAAUUAAGUCUCACGUGGGUCAGAAGGCUCUCUCACUCAUGUAAUGUUUUGUCUUGUGGCUGAGGGUUAUUUUGAAUCAUGAAAAACCACAACAAGUACCUGCAGGAAAACCUUAAAUACAUGUUGAGAAAGAGCGAAAUCCUUACAAAGAGGUGCCUGGGAGUGACCCAGGAACCGUCUCCGUGUGAGGCAACAGCAUGAACCACGACCCCUACCUCAAAAAUGUGAAACUAUCCCUUUAAUGUAAAGUCGCCUGAACAUGAUAAUAAUGAUCUUUGCAGGUAGAACCUCUGAUUCAUAGAGAGAAGAGCUUUUGAGCAUCAUGAUCGGGAUAUAUUUUGGCAUUAAACCACAUCCACACCUAAAAAUAACAAAACUUUUGUGAAACUAAAACAAAAACUUUGUUCAUUCAUCUCUAAAUUUAACACCCUGACUUCGAGGAGGACAAGCAGUCAUAGCACGACAAAACCAAGCAUCUCUGUUGUUUACACGCUGUCAAAACAGACUCCGAGAGAUCGAGUGGAAAUGUCUGCUUUUACACCUUGCAGACGUGUGGAUCUGAAUCCAUCAUUACUCACAGACAAAACAGUCAACACCGAGGACAGACAAGAUCUGCAGAAGCACAAUACACUCCCUGUUUACACGAGGAAACCAAGAGAGCUGAAGAAUGAUAGAGUCUGAGAUAGAGGAAAAGUGCAAAAGCAGAUAGCGUGCAUAAUAUGUUUAAAAGAUUGGAAAAAGCACAGUAAAACAGGGUGGAGGUCGAAAAGCAGGGCGUUCUUGCAAACAGAGGGAUGAGGCAAUGUCACAUGAUCUUUUGAAGCUGUUCGGAUGGGGAGCUGUGAAAGCUCGGGGACAAUGGAGAGUAUGAGAGCAUGAAAUGGAGAAAACCCAGCAUUGUAAACUGUGACUCCACAGCCCGAAGGCUUCGCUCCUCAGGGGAAAUUCUGGCUGUGGUCCUGCCCUGAUGCUGCUGGCCCUCUGUCAGCGGCCGCCGCAGCAGAGUGAAAGUGUUGUGCAUGAAGAGACGAUAAGAUCCAGUUUUGAUAAGCGCCUCGUUCGACACAAGCACACAGGAUGUGAGGUUCGUUCGGGUGCCGUCGUUGGAAAGGAAAGCAGCAAAGUUGACAAAAUUUAAGCUCUGCUGGUUAAAGGACUGAUCGGAGGACAAACAGGACUUUUAGAGAUGCAGGAUGGAGACAAAACCAUAUUACAAAAACAGUUUGUAGUCUGACGGGACUGGUAAACUCUAAUCUCAGUGUGUAGCCAUGAUUCACAAGGUCUGGACAUUAAAAAAUAAGUGGUUUUCGAUAUUGUCUGUUUGGAUUCUGGGUUUGGUGCCACUGUUGAGAGAAGUCUGAGGACACAAUGUAAAAUAAUGUAAUUGUUUUAUGUCAUAAAAUGUAAAUUUGAUUCCUUCAACUGUGUUUUAAAGGGAUAUUCCGGCAUAAAUUUAUGUUAUGGUCAAACACACCGUAACACAGAGUUAGACACGCCCUCGAGAGAUGAAUGUUGCCGACCGCUUGCUUCUCUAGUUAUACCAACUUCAGUAACGACCGCAUGAUGGCAAUACACAGCGGUCUGAGGAGCCAUAAACAAACCUCAACCAAAACACCACUCUAUAGCCACAAAUAAUGCUCAGAACAGCACCUAACUUCAUCAACAGUACAUAUAGGGUCCUAGCCAUAGUACUAGCCACCAAUCAUCUUUUUAACUUUGACUAAUUUCUUUAGCAAAGAGACCAAACAUAACUCACCUACUCUCUUCCAGCAGCCACUUGUUUGUGGGGGAGCCCUGACGAGUCGAUCACCAAGUGCAGAGGAGUUUCACAGCUCAAGGAAGAACAUUUAUGAUCAUUACUUUAUGGAAAGAAAUGAUUGAGAUGCUAAGGCAGAAGAACUACUCUGGUGAUUAGUUCUUCAUGGAAAUGAUCCGCUGCACUCUGUGAUCGACUCGUCAGGGCUCCCCGACAAACAAGUGGCUGCUGGAGGAGAGUGGGUGAGUUGUUUUUAGUCUCUUUGCUAAAGAAAUCAGGGGAAGUUAAAAAGAUGUUUGGUGGCUAGUACUAUGACUGGGACCCUAUAUGUACUGUUGAUGAAGUUAGGUGCUGUUCUGAGCAUUAUUUGUGGCUAUAGAGUGGCGUUUUGGUUGAGGUUUGCGCAUGGAGAUGUAGACCGCUGUGUAUUGCUCAUGUGUGGUUGCUACCUAAGUUAGUAUAAUUAGAGAAGCAAGCGGUCAGCAACACUUAUCUCUCAAGGGGGUGUCUAACUCGGUGUUACUAUGUGUUUGACCCUAAAUUAAUUUUACGCCGGAAUAUCCCUUUAACUACCGGAUCAUGAGAGGCUGACAAACGCUCCUCAAACUUCACCCGCCUCUGAGGAUGUCUGCGUAAAUGUGUGAAUCCAUCUGUUGUUUCUAGAGUUUAUGUUGAGAGGGAGAAGGUGUGAGGCCCACACAGACCUUCAUACACUCUAUUAACACCCUGUUUGCUGCUGAAUGCUCCACCUGUUACAAGUGUGAUUUCUCUCUUUACCCCCAGAAAGAAAGAGAGACAAAAGAGUGUGAAUGCCCCACAGAGGAAUUAGCACUGACACGUGCAUGUUUCCUCAUGAGGCUUUAAAUACACCACACGCUAACACUGACAUGGUUUUGAUUUGGCAAGAAAACAUCCUCUCAUUCAGGAAGCAUUGUCUUCGCUUCAGACUGGUUAUCUUCACUCUCAGUUUGACGUGCUGACAGAGGAGAAAACAGCUCCAAAUGACCUCCUGAAGGGAAACUGUUAACCAAAUCCCCAAACCAGACUUUUAUGAAGCCGUAAAUCUGUGGGUCAGUCAGCGCCGAGAGGUGUUUGUUAUCUGUCAGCCAGCUUCUGCUUCAGAGGAGGAGAGGAGACACUGAGGGCGGCUCUGAGUAAACACAUACCAAACUGACUUUGUUGUUAAAGACACCCUCCAGAGGUCCACAUGGGACUUCAAGGGACCAGGAACAGGAUACAGAGAGCCACGACAGGCUUGUAAACCAAAACCCACAACACUCACGCAUACCUGUACAAACUGCAGGGACAGGAAAGAGUAGGGAAAUCUCACAGUGACAAACUGUUUAGUGUUUUUUAAAUUGGAAAUGUAAUGUCAUCAUAAUUCUUGUUUUAGUUAUGAUUUUAACAUCUUGUAUAAUUCUCCUGUUUGGACUUUUAUCAUUUUAAUGUAUAUGAAUGUUGAAUGUUUUCUUGUGGACCCUAGGAAGAGGAGCUAAUGGGGAUCCAAAUAAAUAAACAAACAAAUAAACUAUAAUAUCUGCCCUCAGGUAAACUCAUAUUUACCCCCUUUUAGAUUAUUUUUGGACUUUUUAAUGUUAAAAACUGACAAAUAGUUGUCCUAGUUCAUCUUCAAAGAGGAUAAAAAUAGUCUUUUUAAAUCUGACCAGAAUUCAACACCUUACUGAGUUUAAAAGUCAUUAUAGAAACAAGAGUUCUGACCAUAAAACAUUGAACAGGCCCGCUAAAAACGAGACAGAGAUUAACUCCUGACAAAAACAACCAAUCAAUGUGAGGAUUAGAGAGGAGUUUUGAGAUGAUCCUGGGUUAGGAGGGUUAAAAACAAGACCAGAAUCCACACAGUCUUGCAUCCUUGUCAGAAAAACAUGUGAGAAAUAUGAACCCGGUGUGGUGAGAAGAAGAAGCCCACACACUGAUCUUCUCCCACCUUCGACUUUCCUUCAGUUUCUUUCAUCUCAGUGAGUGUGGAGCUGAUGUCAUCCGAAGUGACUCAUCCGGUCACACAGAGGAAGAAAAAGAUGGAUGUGCAGGUGAAGAACGAAGAAAGAAAUAAAGGCAAGUGGGAGGAAAGGUAGGAAGGGGAGAUGGAUGCAUGAGGAGGAGGAGAGGAGAGGAGAGGGAGCAGGAAGAGAGGAAAAACAGGGGGUGGAGGAGGUUUGAGGGGGGCAGAUGGAGUGAUGGGUUUUGCAGACUCAGUAUGGAGAGAAGAGGGAAAACAGCUACACAACUCAAGAGGCAAACCAUAUGUUGAGCGUUUCUGCCUGUGUGUGUGAAACUCCACUAAACUGGCAGUGGAAAAAAGAGAGAAAACAAACGUCUGAAAAAGAGAAGAUAGAAAAUAAGAGUAAAAAGACAGAGUGAGGGAAAAGUAAAAAUAAAAGGCAAAGUAUGACAUGAAGAAACUGCACAGAGGGGCAGAAAAAGCCCACAGUUGGCUGCUACCUUUGAGUUAAUAUGUAAUUUCAGAGACAUGCUGCCCUCUGCUGGACAACAAAGAUAUUAUAAACAUAUAUAAAUAUCUAUUUAUUUUCUAUUUUUCAUCCACUAGAGGCCGCCAGAGCAGCAGCUUCUCACUUUUACUCGUUUUCUUUGAUAAAUUCAAGAUACAGCUGAUCAACUUGUUCAUUUUCCAAUUCACAGGGUCACUUUAUGACAAAUUUUGGUGAUCGACUGAAAGCAUUAUUCCACAUUCAAGUACAGAAAGAGGGUCAAAUAAUUAAACUUGUUUAUUAAAACUUAAUUCAAAGAGUUGAGAUGCUAUAAGAAAGGCUGAUGCAAGCAGAGUCUGAUGAUUUGCAUCAUUUCAGUUCCUAUUUCAUUGAAAAUAGUGCAAAGACAAUUAAUUUGACAUUCAUUUGCACGUUUAUUUGAUUAACUUGCAUUUGUUGAUGUUGCAGCAACAGACUCUGUUCACAGACUGGAGGUUUUGGGAUGUGACUUUGAGUCCGUGCUGUGAUUUCCACUGCAGAGUCAUGUCUGUUAUGACUCUGUGCCAGCUGAGGGUUUAAAGAUCACAGCCACCCAGAAUCAAUUAUCAGAUUUGCCUUUUUUUUCGACAGAGAUUUCUGCAGGAUCUUUUAAUUUGGGUAAACAGAUGAUAAAAUCCUCAAAGUCGUUGCAAAUUACCAAUAAUAAACAUCGUCCCUGAACUAUUUCUCACUCAGACACAUUGGAUGGUGAACCUCUACAUUACAUCCACACUGCUACAUCCACCUCUCACUGUCUUGACCGACACCACAGUAGUUUGCUAAAUAUAAUAUUUUGCUCAUAAAUUCGUGGCUGUUUUCCCUGUUUAUGACAGAUUUGGUCUGUUUUGCUUUUGUAGGUCAUAAAGUUAAAUCAGUGAUGAUUUCAGUCUGUUUCAUAACCAGUUAAAAACAUGAGAUAAUCAGAUUACUUUGCAAAGGUUAUCAAAUUAUUUUAAUCAGAUUAAACAUGAAGCAAAAUUAAAUUAGCUUUAAAUAAAAUCAUCUUGAGUAAAAAACCCCACUCAUCUAUCAAACCUCUUAAAAUCACUGUGUAUACAUAGAACACUAUAAUUAUCAGUCUGGGUUGAAGCCAAAGGAUUUAGAGCUCCCCUGGUGGCCACCUACAGUAUAGGUCAUAAGCUCUGUCUCUGUAAUGUUAAUAGAUCACAGAUCGGCUUCUCUAUAAAACUAAAAUACACUUAAAAACUUUUUUUUUGACACAUGGUUUCUGAUAUAAAAGUUUUUGUGUCCUUGAUUUUCAAAAGAGCGGGUUCAACACCAUGAUGAUGAACAGUUUCUGCAGAUUCUCCAGAUUAACACAGUCGAGGACAAACAGGGAGAAAAUAUAUAAAACACCAGCACAAGAGUUUGUCUCUGCCUCAAAUCAACACAAGAUUAAGUUCUGCUGUGGAUUUUCUAGACCUGAGGAGAGGGAUCUUUGACAUUUUAUGGGUAUGUUUUUACUGUGGAGUUUGGUUAUAGCAGAGCCGGCCCAAGGCAUAAGAGAACUACUCGCCUGCUAAGGGUCCCGCAGCCAGUAGGGGGCCCCCAAGAGCAAUAAAAAAAAAAAAUAAUAAUUAAUAUUUUUUAUAUUUUGCAUGUAUGAGUGAUGCUUUCUGUAUGAUCAAAUAUAUAUUAUUGUAAAAAGGAAAUAAAAUAAAAUAAAAAUUUUUUAGUGCUGCUGCUGAUGUCGGCCUAUGAUUAUUACUGCCGAUAUGUUAAAGCUCUGCUACCGUUAUGUGCCUCCUGCUGUGUAAUGUGCACUGAUCAUCCAAAGAGCAGGUAGUUUUGGGGCGAAACAAUGUCGCAAAAAAGGACGUAUCCUUCAGGAACAGAGAAAAGAAAGAGGAAGAAAGAGGAAGAAGAGAAAACAUGCCAAGAUAAAGGUACAUUUGCAUGUCAUGGAAUGUUAAAGAGAUUUGUGAAGGUGAAGGUGAUCAACGAUCAAUAUUACUGGCAGAAAUAGAGGGCCCCAUAAUCAAAUGUUGCUUAGGGCCCUGUUGAGGCUUGUGCCGGCUCUGGGUUAUAGUCAGGGAUAUCAAGUCUGUCCGGCCACACGACCAGCCAAGUCACAGUCACACAGGUCUUUGUUUGUCAACACCAGCAGGGACGACGUUUUGGCUUCAAAGAUGAGAAUGAAUGACGGCGUUCAUUUAGCGAACAUCAACCACAGAGACGAGACGAGCUGAAGUGUUUGAAGUAGAUGUUGGACAUAGACGGGAAACACUUUGACUAAAAGUAAUGACGAAUAUGCGACCGACUUUUACUUAAACAAGACUAACUUGUUUUGACCCAGAAGUGUCAGAUUUGUUUGGCUCUCUUUUGAUGCGUCCUGGAUUUAUUAGAUUAUAUUAAUCUAAUAUGGAUCGUCAGUAUCACAGCUGCACACGGGCAGAGCGUUUAAUUUGUUUAUUGAGAGAUUUCAUUAGAUAAAUCUUUUCAGAUGUUGAACAUCUGUGUUCCCACCACAUCCAUGUCAAACUAUCUAUUAAUCUAAAUGUGUCACUGCUUCAAACACAGACUCUAAAACUUCAGUCUUACUCUUCUGCGCUGCACACCGACCACUUUAAUCUGCCUGAACAAUCAAUGUUACUAUUGUUAGCUCUUGAAAAAAGCAGAAUAAUCCAAUCAUCUGUCCUUUCUUCUUUCAGUUGUGGAUUGGUGACACUCUGCUUCUUGUUUUCCACAUGCUGGACACGAACAGGUUUUGAGUUUAUGCCAGAAAACGGGAAUAAUAAAAGCUAAAGGCCCUGUAAAGGCUUCUUCUCAACGCUGCAGAUGCUUUGGGUGCAGACUUGUUGUUCCAUAAAGCAUUUCCAAGAAAGAGAAUAUGUUAUACAUCUGUCAAACACUACAGUUCUGUUAACGACCAAAUGUUCUGUUCUUUGAUGGCUUGGCUGCACACUCGCCCGCUCACGUAACAAUGGAGUAAAUAACAACAGACUCUUGAAACAAACAGCAGCCUCCUUCUGCUUCUUAGAAAUGCUUUUUAUAAAACUACCAGAUGCUUCCAGAACUAAAACACACUCGCAGUCAAUUUGUCUUUGUCCAGAUUUUGUCAGUUUUUGUCUCUUUUAUGUAAAAAAAAAAAAAAGUUUCCAGACCAACUCGUCCCCACCCCCAAGCCAACGCCUCGA